RNAcentral lists this ribosomal RNA (600 nucleotides) under Streptomyces sp. SCAU9006. RNAcentral describes it as "bacterial SSU rRNA". It matches the Rfam family "Bacterial small subunit ribosomal RNA", at positions 103 to 717 of the family's 1533-position model. The record is from RNAcentral. Lineage: Bacteria; Bacillati; Actinomycetota; Actinomycetes; Kitasatosporales; Streptomycetaceae.
CGGGUGAGUAACACGUGGGCAAUCUGCCCUUCACUCUGGGACAAGCCCUGGAAACGGGGUCUAAUACCGGAUAACACUCCCUCUCUCAUGGGUGGGGGUUAAAAGCUCCGGCGGUGAAGGAUGAGCCCGCGGCCUAUCAGCUUGUUGGUGAGGUAAUGGCUCACCAAGGCGACGACGGGUAGCCGGCCUGAGAGGGCGACCGGCCACACUGGGACUGAGACACGGCCCAGACUCCUACGGGAGGCAGCAGUGGGGAAUAUUGCACAAUGGGCGAAAGCCUGAUGCAGCGACGCCGCGUGAGGGAUGACGGCCUUCGGGUUGUAAACCUCUUUCAGCAGGGAAGAAGCGAAAGUGACGGUACCUGCAGAAGAAGCGCCGGCUAACUACGUGCCAGCAGCCGCGGUAAUACGUAGGGCGCAAGCGUUGUCCGGAAUUAUUGGGCGUAAAGAGCUCGUAGGCGGCUUGUCACGUCGGGUGUGAAAGCCCGGGGCUUAACCCCGGGUCUGCAUUCGAUACGGGCUAGCUAGAGUGUGGUAGGGGAGAUCGGAAUUCCUGGUGUAGCGGUGAAAUGCGCAGAUAUCAGGAGGAACACCGGUGGCG